GGCGGCGCUGCGGGAGCAGGAGCAGGAGCAGGGCCAGAAGCUCCUGGAGACGCUGCAGGAGCUGGAGAAGCAGGGCCUGGAGGGGAUGAAGGCGCUGCUGGAGGGGACAGAGACCCCCCACCCCGAGGAACUGGCCGACCUCUUCUUCGACUGCGUGGAGGCAGAGCUGAAGUUUUACACAUAAACCCCCCACAGUCUCCUUCUCCAGAGCUUUGCUCCGGGACUGGACACCACCAGGAGCUCGCUGGGACCCGCGGGAUCCCCGGAGGGGUGUCCCUGGCUGUGCCCGGGGCCGGGAAUGGCCCUGCCAGG
Molecule: long non-coding RNA, 312 nt
Organism: Lepidothrix coronata (blue-crowned manakin)
Lineage: Eukaryota; Metazoa; Chordata; Aves; Passeriformes; Pipridae
Exons: 3
Source: RefSeq, a predicted model, not a curated record